RNAcentral lists this ribosomal RNA (1050 nucleotides) under unidentified archaeon. RNAcentral describes it as "bacterial SSU rRNA". It matches the Rfam family "Archaeal small subunit ribosomal RNA", at positions 1 to 1052 of the family's 1478-position model. The record is from RNAcentral.
UCCGGUUGAUCCUGCCAGAGGUUACUGCUAUCGGUGUUCGCCUAAGCCAUGCGAGUCAUAUGUUCUUCGUGAACAUGGCGUACUGCUCAGUAACACGUGGAUAACCUGCCCUUGGGUCCGGCAUAACCCCGGGAAACUGGGGAUAAUUCCGGAUAACGCACAUAUGCUGGAAUGCUUUAUGCGUAAAAUGGAUUCGUCUGCCCAAGGAUGGGUCUGCGGCCUAUCAGGUAGUAGUGGGUGUAAUGUACCUACUAGCCAACAACGGGUACGGGUUGUGAGAGCAAGAGCCCGGAGAUGGAUUCUGAGACAUGAAUCCAGGCCCUACGGGGCGCAGCAGGCGCGAAAACUUUACAAUGCGGGAAACCGUGAUAAGGGGACACCGAGUGCCAGCAUCAUAUGCUGGCUGUCCGGGUGUGUAAAAUACACCCGUUAGCAAGGGCCGGGCAAGACCGGUGCCAGCCGCCGCGGUAACACCGGCGGCCCGAGUGGUGAUCGUGAUUAUUGGGUCUAAAGGGUCCGUAGCCGGUUUGGUCAGUCCUCCGGGAAAUCUGAUGGCUCAACCAUUAGGCUUUCGGGGGAUACUGCCAGGCUUGGAACCGGGAGAGGUAAGAGGUACUACAGGGGUAGGAGUGAAAUCUUGUAAUCCCUGUGGGACCACCUGUGGCGAAGGCGUCUUACCAGAACGGGUUCGACGGUGAGGGACGAAAGCUGGGGGCACGAACCGGAUUAGAUACCCGGGUAGUCCCAGCCGUAAACGAUGCUCGCUAGGUGUCAGGCAUGGCGCGACCGUGUCUGGUGCCGCAGGGAAGCCGUGAAGCGAGCCACCUGGGAAGUACGGCCGCAAGGCUGAAACUUAAAGGAAUUGGCGGGGGAGCACAACAACGGGUGGAGCCUGCGGUUUAAUUGGACUCAACGCCGGACAACUCACCGGGGACGACAGCAAAAUGUAGGCCAGGCUGAAGACCUUGCCUGAAUCGCUGAGAGGAGGUGCAUGGCCGUCGCCAGUUCGUACUGUGAAGCAUCCUGUUAAGUCAGGUAACGAGCGAGACC